RNAcentral lists this long non-coding RNA (7925 nucleotides) under Solanum tuberosum (potato). RNAcentral's name for it is "long non-coding RNA (STUB_LNC002093)". Lineage: Eukaryota; Viridiplantae; Streptophyta; Magnoliopsida; Solanales; Solanaceae. The record is from RNAcentral.
CUGAAUAGCUUAUUUUUCCUCCAGUGAAUGGUGAUUGAGUUUCGCCCCAAUUAAUAGCAGCAAAGAAGAGCCAUAUCUGCGAUCUGAAAGCAUUUUCUGAUUGAAAAUCCAUUAGGUUUCAGUAAGUUCUCUUUUCACACUAGCUCUAAAAUUGCUUUAACAUCAUCUGCAUCGCCACAAAAUUUUGUUUGUAAGCGUAGAACUGUGAAGAAUAUUGAUGAAGCUGUUGCUUUAUUCCGUCGAAUGAUAGUUUACCGUCCUCCGCCAUUGGUUAAGGCGUUCACUGAAUUGUUGAAGGUAGUUACGAAAAUUAAAAAAAAUAAAAAAUUCUGUUGUUAUUCAUCUCUUUAAAGAAAUUACUACUUUGGGAAUUGCGAACCAAACAUUGCAGCUUAUAACACCUUAAUUGACAGCUUAUGCAAAGAUCGAAUGGUAGAUGAUGCCCACAAGCUGUUCACUAGAAUGACUGAGAAAGGGAUUUAUCCUGAUAUUAUUACAUAUAGUUCAAUUAUUCAAUGUUUUUGUAAUUUUGGCCAAUGGGAAGAAGUUAAGAAAGCUACUGAAUCAGAUGAUCCAUCAUGGUGUGUAUCUGAAUGUCUAAACCUAUAAUAUAUUAGUUGAUGCGUUUUGCAAGGAAGGUAGGGCGGAAGACGCCAAAGCUAUCAUUGAAUGUAUGAUACAAAAGGGCGUUGAUCCUGAUGUAGUCACAUACAACACAUUGAUAGAUGGUUACUAUUGGCAGGGUCGGUUACAUGAAGCAAAACAAGUGUUUGAUUCGAUGGUGCAGAGGGGUGUUCAACCUAACACUAAUCAAUGGUUAUUGCAAAAGAAUGGAAAUAGACAAAGCCAUAGAUCUUGUGAGAGAAAUGUCUCUAAAACAAUUAAAACCUGGAAUUGUAACAUACACCAGUACUGUUUUGCAGGGAUUAUUUCGAGUAGGGAGAUUCUCCCAUGCACAAAAGAUGUAUGAUGAGAUGCGUGUUUUAGGAUUCAAACCCGAUACUCAGAGUCACACUUAUUGUAUCAUGCUAGAUGGUUUGUGCAAGAAUGGACAUGUUGAAGAAGCUCUGGUGUUUCUUCAAGAACUGGAAAGAAAGAAUGUUGACCUCAGCUGUUCUAUGUAUGAGGUUGUUAUUGCUGGAUUGUGCAAAAAAGGCAAGCUCAAUAUUGCUCAAGAUAUAUUCAAUAAUUGUGUGUUCUGAUGGUUUACAUGUCAACGUGAGGUCGUACAAUGCAAUGAUAAAUGGCCUAUGCCGGGAGGGUUUGCUAGACGAAGCAGAAGACUUGAUGAGGAAGAUGGAACAAAAUGGGCUUUCACCCGAAGAUUUUGCUUGUGAUUUUAUUUUGCAAGGAUUUCUUAAAAGGGAUAAGUUACAUGAGGUAUUUCCACUUCUGCAAGAAAUGGUUGAUAAGGGUCUCUCCUAAUGCACAUACAUUUCAGCUGCUGAUAAAUCUAGCUUCAGCUGAAUGUACUCUACUCGACAUGAUCCAGAGAUUAAGACCCAAAGAUUGUAAGUGAUUGUGUUCUAAUUUUGGUAAAGGAACAGGAUGCAGCAGCCACCUGGUCGCUGGUUAGAGUUAUGCAGGUAGUAAUGUAGGGAUUCGUUAUUCAUGUAUUAGUUAUUCUAUUUUUACUACCCUGCAUUAUAUAAUAAAUAAAUUGACUCAUAAAUUAUACUUGUGGGAUUGUAAAAAUAAUAACCAAACACCGUACCUGGUGUGCUGAAUUCUAUACAAAACAACUAAAAUCUACCAAACAUGGUAUUGACUAUGCUAGCUUCAAUAUAUGAAUAAUUCCCUUUGUAACCAACAACCAAACGACCCCCACUUUAACUGGAUGAUUUUUUCGUUGUUGCAAUUUACUUCUUCUUUUCUUACAUAGCUCCUGUGUCAUUGUCAAUUAUAUGCUUGCUCUAAACUUCUAAGAUAAAGGACUUGAUAUUACAGAGGAACGUAACUACAAAUCAUGCUGCAUUUAUUAAAAACAUCUUCCCUUUUGUAAUUUCUAUGUUCAAGGAGGUUGGCACUUUUAUGUAUCGAAAAUUGACACCCCUCUUAGAUCGUUGGAUGGAGAAAACUACAUUUCCCUUCUUUUUACUUGAACAAUUGAAACAUCAAUUAAUGAUAGCUUGUACUGUUUUAUGAUUACAUUACAGAGUAUUGAACAUUUUCCUUUCUGAAUGUUUACACUGGUUUCACAUGUUGAGAAACUAACUGAAGUAUUCUUUCACUAUUGACUAUGAGUAGAUUAGGAUGUGGUUGAGAUUGUCUGAAGAUAAGCAUCAGCCAUCAUGUGUCCUAGGAAGACUUGGGAAGAAGCAGUAAGGUGUAAAUUGUCUUUAUGCAACUCCAAACCCCUGGCAUCAACAGUUACUACAUUUGCAAGGUCAGGAUUUAACUGUGCUUCUCUUACUAUAUCUGUGUAAUUUGUUCCUGAAGCUAGAGCCACCUACAUAAGUUUGAACAAAAGAAGUGUAAACAAGUAAGGAUAACUAAUAACCAACUUUGCAAGGGAUGCUUGACUGACCUCAGAUUGUGACGGAGAAUUUAUUGUAUUAUUGAAGCUAAGAUUUCAAAAUCUAAUAUUUGUUGAAAUUUUAGUGGAAUUUCACACACACACACACACACAUAUACGCUCCGUGUUGAAAAUAUACUGCAUUUGGAUGAACCUGCAGCUUAAGAACCGGUUCCUGCAGUAAGAGUUACUCCCUUUGUUUCAAUUUGUUUGACUGCGUACCUUCCUUUUUAGUCUGUUUCAGAAAGAAUAUCUCUUUCCUUUAUAAGAACUCUUUAAUUUCCAAAUGACAUGUUUAAAACCACAAGAUUAAAAGACAUUUUGGUACAUUCCACAUAUCUUUAGUUUAAGAUCGCAACACUCAAAAGUUUUCUUUAUUUUCUUAAACUCCCCGUCAAAAUUGGAACGGGGGAGUACCAAAUUUAAGGUUACCUGGAUAAUCAAAAGAUCUGGUAUCCCAACAUCACUUCUCAAGUCUGUGAAAAAUUGUUGCAUUUUUCCUUUAUAAGCAUUUGCAUUACUCAGUAACGUUGUGUCACUCUCCCCUUGAUACCAAAGCAUAGCUCUAGUUACCCCACAUUCUUGCACUGCAGCAGCUUUGGCUCUCAUCACCAGCUGAUUGUAAAGGAAAGUUCCCUUUUGCCAUUGACUUAUUCUGUUCCCCGCCAUUGCGCAUGGUACCAACCCUACUUCCCCAAGAAACGAAGUUUUAUUCAACAAAGAAUUUGCGAAGGGCAUACCUGCACACACGAAUCUAGAAUUUAUAGUUAGCAUGUCCAGAGCGAGUCUAAUCUAUUGAAAUCCGCCUCUACAUACCUGGACCAAUCCCACAAGUAACAUUUGUGUCGAUAUCUGCAUGUAAAGGUUCAGUUGCCUCCACCCAUUGAAGUUUGGCAUCAAGUUUGAGGAUGGCCGGAUUCGGGCUACACUCCAAUGGAACAAUACCAUCCCAUGUGUUGUUCACGACACCUCCUAGGCCCGACAUGUUGCUUUGUCCAGCUAGUAAGAAGAUGUUCUUCACCUGUGAAUUUGCUAUAGCUGUAAAAUAGGAUAAAGCCAUAAUCAUAAGCAAUGCCAUGGACUUUGCCAUUUGUUAUAUACACAAUGUUUUUCCACUAUGAAUUUCAUUCAACUUUUACAGAUAUAUAUAUAUAUAUAUANNNNNNNNNNNNNNNNNNNNNNNNNNNNNNNNNNNNNNNNNNNNNNNNNNNNNNNNNNNNNNNNNNNNNNNNNNNNNNNNNNNNNNNNNNNNNNNNNNNNNNNNNNNNNNNNNNNNNNNNNNNNNNNNNNNNNNNNNNNNNNNNNNNNNNNNNNNNNNNNNNNNNNNNNNNNNNNNNNNNNNNNNNNNNNNNNNNNNNNNNNNNNNNNNNNNNNNNNNNNNNNNNNNNNNNNNNNNNNNNNNNNNNNNNNNNNNNNNNNNNNNNNNNNNNNNNNNNNNNNNNNNNNNUAUAUAAGAUAAAUUGGUUUGCAUUUGCAUGUUUCAUAGCUAGCUGGACCCCUUUUUAUUUAUUAGGUAGUAGUUUUUUUCCAUGUGAUUCGUGAUAGAUAAAUUGUUAUUGAAGAAGCAUCAUGUUCGCUCGAAUCUUCCAGGGCACUUAUUUGAAUAUCGAUGGAACUUAUUUGAAAUUUAUUAGCUUUGAAGCUUUAGGCUAUACUAUAGUAGUAUGUUAAUUAAACAGAGUCUGGAAACAAAAAAAAGUGAAUACUUUAUAUGGUCUUGAACUCUUGGUCUCUCAACUCUGUAAAAAACAGUCUUGUGCAUAAUGUUAAUCCUGUGAUAAUUUGGUUAAUAACUAGUGGAGUAAUAAGUUGAGCAAUUAUUUAGGUGGAUAUACUAUUUUAAGGCAUGUUGCAUUAAAUACUGCAAUUGUCUUUAAUUAACUUAACGAAAAGCCAGCUUUCGUAAGGCUUUUUUUUUUAAUCAUUUGAUGUCCACUACCCGCAAUAACACACAAUUUUUUGACGAUUGAAUGAAGACAUGGAUAUUUUCUCAAUCGAGUUUGCAUUGAUUUAAGUUUUUUGGUUUGCUUCCGUUUCAUUUAAAGGUAUUUUUGGCCCAUUUCACUAACUAUAAGGAUAUAAAUGUAUCGAAGUAUAACCAAAGGACAUUUUUUAUUAUUUCACAUAAUACAAGGGCAUUUUUGACCCUUUUGUCAAAUUUUAAUUGUAGUCUUUGUUUAAAGUUUGGGUCAAUCUUACCCACGUGAUUGACAGACUGACAAGUCUUUGUCCUUAUUCCAACUAAGCUACCAGUUUAUUAUUUUAUUUUUAAAAAAUAAAUAAAAAUGAUUGUCUACCAUUUAAAAAAUUCAGAAAUCCCAUAUCGGAUACAUUCAUAUCCCUUUCGGAUAUAUUUCUCCCCUCUUGGAUACAUCUCUCUUCUAUGUAUCCGGAUUCUAUCCCCUAUCUGAAACAUUCCUCCCCUCUCAGUUACAUCUCUCCCCUAUAUGUAUUCGGAUGUAAAGUCCCCUCUCGGAUAUGUAUCUGGAAAUCCAGUUAUGUUAUUUCAUGUAUUCAGAUUAACAAAUCAGAAGCACAAUCCUUCACUUCCUAUUCACAGCUUUAAGAAACUUUUGUAAACAAAACCCAACAAAUGAUAUGAGACUUUUGUAAACAAAACCCAACAAGUGAUGUAUCUGGAAGUCCAGUGAUGUAUUCAAAAUUAAUAAAUUUUAAAGGACUUUUGUAAUUUGAAAAAGAGUAGGAAAAUAAUAUAACUAGCUCUUAACACUAUGAAAUUUAUGUAAAUUACACAUAAAAUAAAUAUGAUAACAUAUAUAUAAUAUCACCCAAGUCACGGCAAAUGGAGGGAUUGAAUCGGAUUUGUGCAGAUUGAAAAUGGAUUAAUGAAUUGCAAUGCACCAUAUGAAUAUUGGCAAAUUGUGAAUUGGGUAAAUCGUUCUAAUCCACAUUAAUCGACCUAGGACCUGACUUCAAUCCCAACCUCGACCUCAACUUGGGACCCUACCUCAGCAUGGGAUUUAACCUCGAUUCCGACCUUGAUCUCAACUCGAGACCCUACCUCAGUAUGAAAUCUAAUCUUGAUCCCGAUCCUAACCUACUUUUGACUCGAGAUCCGACUCCAACUCAAGAUAGGAUUCCCAUGGAACCCUAACCACGACCAUGAUCUCAACUCGAGCUCCAAUUCUAAUUCCUGAUUCAACCUUAAUUUAAGACUCGAUCCUGACUCCAACCCCGACUCAGGAAUAGACCAUGAGUUAAGGGGGUAGGUGGAGAUAGGCAGGUAGGGGAGGGUUAAUAGUGCCAGGGUUGGGUUGGGCAUUUGUGUGUUUUUAUUGAUCUUGUAAAUGUUCUCUCAAAUUUUAAGGAAAGGAUAUUGGGGUCUCCUAUUUACAAAAGUGAGUUUGUAUAUGAAUACUCACAUGUUAUCCAUAUUUUUAUGGGAUAAAAUAGAUUGAAACUCAUAUUUAUCUAAUUGAAAUAUAAGUGAUCUAACUCAUUAAAAUAUGAAUUAAAUGAAUUAAUUUAAUAACCAUGAACUGAAAUUCCAACUCUAAAUAUCAUAGACAACAAAAAAAAUCUUUAGAAAAAACACCAAAAUUUUAAAAGAACAAGAAAUAAUACAACCCUCAAAAUCUCACUCUCUUUUAGCAUAAGCAUAAAAAAUAGUCAAAAUAUUUUCAAAUUAGCAAUUUCUUCUGACCUGAAAAAAAAACAUGACAAACCAAAACCAACAAGAAAAUGCUAAAUUCUAGAAAAAGAAAAAGAAAAAGAAAAUUGAGAACCCUUAAAAUCUAACAGAUAAUUUUCUAACAAUUACCCUAAAAUCACUCUAGCCAUAAAUAUUCAAAUGUGGUUCAAAUUAUACCUAGACACUAUAUAUAACCCUCUUCUCAACCACAUUUAAUUCACCAAAGCAAAAAAAAAAAAAAAUAGAAAAAAAUCAAACACAAAUUUCAAAAAUAUAAUUAUUAUUUACUUAUUUAUUUUUAAAAAAUAUGGAGAUGAAGAAGAUUGCUUGUGUCACCCUCAUUGUUGCUGCCUCAAUUAGUUCAGUCAUGGCUCAAAUAUUGCCCCCAACCUCUGCCCCAAUCUCUUCUCCGAUCUCUGCCCCAGCCUCUGCCCCAUCUAGUGAUGCCGCCGUGUCAUUGCCCAACGUGGCAACUUUGGCUGGGGCUACUUUAUUAUCCUUCUUCGCUUAUUUCAUGCACUAAAUUAUAUCGUCAAAUUUCUCUAAAACAAUCAUCUCUACAUUAAUAACCAUAAAAAAAAUUGAAAUAGAUUUUUUUUAUAUUAUGUUAUAUUAUAUAUUUUCUAUAACAUUAUUUUGUUAUAGAGACUAAAAGAUGAUUUAAAUGAUAUCGUUAUAAUGAGAUUUAAUUGUAAUUAGAAAGGGGGAAAAAGGAAGAGAAUGAAGAAUUGAAGGAGAUUACAGGUCUUGGUAGGGAGAAGGAAAGAUUUUUUAGAUACAUCUUUGUGUACUAUAUAUAUCAUCACCAACAAAAUAAAAUCAUUAUUUUGUGGUUUAUUAUUGUUGUUUCUUAUGUAACAUACGGUUAAUUGUAUUUCAUCAUUUUUGCAUUUAUUUAUUUGAGAUCGAUCAAUCUCAAAAUUAUCAAUGAGAUCAAGGUGAAUUGUCGCGUUCAAAUCCAAAAAACAAAAAAAAAGCACAAUCUUUUCUCAGAAAAAAAAAUCUUUUUUUAUACUCUAUGCUUAAUCGAAUAUAAUGGUAAUAGAAAUAAAUUUUAUAAUAUAUAUCAUAUUAAAAAAAUAUAUAUAUUAAACCUGAUUCAGUCUCGAAAAAGAACAACGAAAAGCCAAAAAAAAGGAGCAUAAAUUCAAUUUGAUGAUUGAAUAAAACGUGACAAUCUUUAUCCAAUAGUAAAAUGACACCGUUUCUCCCAACAAAAAUUCCCCUAGCCAAAUGGCAUACAUGCAAUAAACAAUAUCUGUACCUCUUUUCCUUCACUAUAAGUAUUAUGCUUUUCUCCUAUCUUUCUACUGAAAAAAAAUUGAAGUCUCUCUCAGAAAUAAUUAAUCAUUAAAAAAUAAAUAUUUUGUUAUAUAUCAAUGGCUUGCCUUAGGUUUUUCUAUAUUUAUGUUGUACUGCUAGUUUUGAAGAUGUCUGAGGCUCAAGACUUGGCAUCGGAGAAUAUUGCACCUUCACCGGCGAUGGUUUUGUUCCGGCGACCUCUGUCGGAGUGUUCUUUACUUUUUGUGUAAUCAAUCUCUUUAUUAAUAUGCAUUGAGGUUUUGGUGAUGGUGCUUCUACAUUAGUACCAAAUAUGAUUUUGCUCUACCGCCCUUCAUUUUUAUGCUACCACUUGUUACUUAUGCAUUUGUCUUCUUAUUUUUCCUUGUUAUAUAGAUUGAUAGAUACCUGGCCUGUAGUAUUAUGCGUGUAGUUUUUUAAUAUUUGAAUUUUAAUAUAUAAUUGAAUUUAUCUUAA